GGGCUAUAGCUCAGUUGGUAGAGCACCUCGUUUACACCGAGAAUGUCUA
Molecule: transfer RNA, 49 nt
Filed under: Sabatia angularis
Lineage: Eukaryota; Viridiplantae; Streptophyta; Magnoliopsida; Gentianales; Gentianaceae
Description: partial tRNA-Val
Source: RNAcentral